Paramuricea clavata is the source of this 278-nucleotide non-coding RNA. Lineage: Eukaryota; Metazoa; Cnidaria; Anthozoa; Malacalcyonacea; Plexauridae. The record is from the annotation of a GenBank genome assembly.
CUCUGAUCUUAGUUGAGUUAAUUUCCACGUCACAGCUUGUCAUCAUAAUUACAGAUUAUUCAUCGAGACUUGGCUGCAAGAAACAUUCUUCUUGGACAUGGAUACACUGCAAAAGUUGGUGACUUUGGGCUAGCCAGAGACGUCUAUAAAUAUCAAGCAUACCUGAAAAAUUCAUCGGUAGGUUUUUGUUUGUAAGGAUGGAACGGAAGCUAUAAUAUGUGGGUGUACAGCUGAAGAAAAACGCACAUCGAUCAUUUGAUGUUGUUAUCAAUUACCAG